GCCAGGCAUGGUGGCGGGUGCCUGUAGUCCCAGCUACUCGGGAGGCUGAGGCAGGAGAAUUGCUUGAACCUGGGAGGCGGAGGUUGCAGUGAGCCGAGAUCGUGCCACUGCACUCUAGCCUGGGUGACAGAGCGAGACUCUGUCUCAA
This 148-nucleotide non-coding RNA is filed under the name Homo sapiens (human). The record is from Rfam by way of RNAcentral. Lineage: Eukaryota; Metazoa; Chordata; Mammalia; Primates; Hominidae.